UGUCCAGAUGAGAGUGGCUUUGUUGACACAGGUGUCUGAUGGUGUCUUCAGCUCCAACUCCACAGCGAUAUGCACAAUGCAGGGUGGCCCGAUGUGUGCAUGUCUGCUUACUCAGACGGCGACAUCACUUCUGCAGAGCGGCUCCGGAAAUAAAGCCACCGUCUUCCUCAAGAGAGCCGGAGGGCAGAGAGCCCAGAAAGAUACGGAGAAAUGUUGGGGUGAAGUGAAUGCUGCAACUUGGUGACUUGAUGCAAUCUGCUGGGCUUCCUUAAAGACUAUGCCUAUUUGAACAAGAC
This is a long non-coding RNA of Gambusia affinis (western mosquitofish), 296 nucleotides long. RefSeq lists it as uncharacterized. Lineage: Eukaryota; Metazoa; Chordata; Actinopteri; Cyprinodontiformes; Poeciliidae. The transcript has 3 exons. The record is from RefSeq and is a predicted model, not a curated record.